UACAGAGGUCCCGAGCGUUGUUCGGAUUCACUGGGCGUAAAGGGUGCGUAGGUGGUGAGGUAAGUCGGAUGUGAAAGCUCGGAGCUCAACUCCGAAAUGGCAUUGGAAACUACCUUGCUCGAGGGUUGGAGGGGGGACUGGAAUUCUCGGUGUAGCAGUGAAAUGCGUAGAUAUCGAGAGGAACACCAGUGGCGAAGGCGAGUCCCUGGACAACUCCUGACACUGAGGCACGAAAGCUAGGGGAGCAAACAGG
Molecule: ribosomal RNA, 253 nt
Filed under: uncultured bacterium
Lineage: Bacteria
Description: partial 16S ribosomal RNA
Rfam family: Bacterial small subunit ribosomal RNA
Source: RNAcentral